GCUGCUCCCAGCAAGUGCCCGGGAUGCCUCCUCGGUCUGUCACAGCUCAGGACUGUGCCGCUGCCGUUCCCUGACGCCCUCGGGUGCUGCUGCUGUGACGUGCAGGGCGCUUCCCUGGCACCCCAAACAGGGACCGCAACGGCACUUGCCGUGUUGUGCUGCCAUUUAUCUGGGAGGCAAAUAAGUGCAGCACUGGGCAUGUGCAGUGGGCUGAGUGGAUGAACGAAUGGAUGACGGUGACAGAUCUGCCCCAGAGGAGGAAGAGGAAGAUUUGCCACAACUGAAGAUUUUCAAAGGAAUGUGCCGCAAGCCCGGAAGGCCGUUGCCCAAGAGGAGCCAUGAACAUGCUGGGAGCGAUGGCGGCUCUGACCGAACAAGCUUUUCCGAGGGGCCGCUUUCACAGGCAGACACGAGUUUUUGGAGAGUCGAGCUUUGGCGUGUUUAUUGAAAAAGACACUUGGGUUGCUUUCAGGACCUCUGUGCUCUCAGCUCUUCUCUCUUCUUUAGCUCAGUUCCAAGAGGGCCAGGACGGAGGCUGGAAGCUCACUUGCUCCCGGGGCCGUUUCACAGAUGUUUCUACCUACUUGUCUCCUGCUAUCUGGGAGAUUGCUCCGGUUGCUCAGAUGUGUGGCAGGCUUGGUGGUGGCCCUGUGAUCUUUGAAAAUGUAUCCUCUGGGAGCUGCAUUUCUGCAAAAUGAGAAAUGCACAUAUUCUGCAGGGCUGUGAGAAUUAAA
Molecule: long non-coding RNA, 734 nt
Organism: Lemur catta (Ring-tailed lemur)
Lineage: Eukaryota; Metazoa; Chordata; Mammalia; Primates; Lemuridae
Exons: 3
Source: RefSeq, a predicted model, not a curated record